This 1448-nucleotide ribosomal RNA is filed under the name uncultured organism. RNAcentral describes it as "SSU rRNA". It matches the Rfam family "Bacterial small subunit ribosomal RNA". The record is from RNAcentral.
AGGAUGAACGCUAGCUACAGGCUUAACACAUGCAAGUCGAGGGGCAGCAUGGUCUUAGCUUGCUAAGGCCGAUGGCGACCGGCGCACGGGUGAGUAACACGUAUCCAACCUGCCGUCUACUCUUGGACAGCCUUCUGAAAGGAAGAUUAAUACAAGAUGGCAUCAUGAGUCCGCAUGUUCACAUGAUUAAAGGUAUUCCGGUAGACGAUGGGGAUGCGUUCCAUUAGAUAGUAGGCGGGGUAACGGCCCACCUAGUCUUCGAUGGAUAGGGGUUCUGAGAGGAAGGUCCCCCACAUUGGAACUGAGACACGGUCCAAACUCCUACGGGAGGCAGCAGUGAGGAAUAUUGGUCAAUGGGCGAGAGCCUGAACCAGCCAAGUAGCGUGAAGGAUGACUGCCCUAUGGGUUGUAAACUUCUUUUAUAAAGGAAUAAAGUCGGGUAUGGAUACCCGUUUGCAUGUACUUUAUGAAUAAGGAUCGGCUAACUCCGUGCCAGCAGCCGCGGUAAUACGGAGGAUCCGAGCGUUAUCCGGAUUUAUUGGGUUUAAAGGGAGCGUAGAUGGAUGUUUAAGUCAGUUGUGAAAGUUUGCGGCUCAACCGUAAAAUUGCAGUUGAUACUGGAUAUCUUGAGUGCAGUUGAGGCAGGCGGAAUUCGUGGUGUAGCGGUGAAAUGCUUAGAUAUCACGAAGAACUCCGAUUGCGAAGGCAGCCUGCUAAGCUGCAACUGACAUUGAGGCUCGAAAGUGUGGGUAUCAAACAGGAUUAGAUACCCUGGUAGUCCACACGGUAAACGAUGAAUACUCGCUGUUUGCGAUAUACUGCAAGCGGCCAAGCGAAAGCGUUAAGUAUUCCACCUGGGGAGUACGCCGGCAACGGUGAAACUCAAAGGAAUUGACGGGGGCCCGCACAAGCGGAGGAACAUGUGGUUUAAUUCGAUGAUACGCGAGGAACCUUACCCGGGCUUAAAUUGCAGAUGAAUUACGGUGAAAGCCGUAAGCCGCAAGGCAUCUGUGAAGGUGCUGCAUGGUUGUCGUCAGCUCGUGCCGUGAGGUGUCGGCUUAAGUGCCAUAACGAGCGCAACCCUUGUUGUCAGUUACUAACAGGUUCCGCUGAGGACUCUGACAAGACUGCCAUCGUAAGAUGUGAGGAAGGUGGGGAUGACGUCAAAUCAGCACGGCCCUUACGUCCGGGGCUACACACGUGUUACAAUGGGGGGUACAGAGGGCCGCUACCACGCGAGUGGAUGCCAAUCCCCAAAACCUCUCUCAGUUCGGACUGGAGUCUGCAACCCGACUCCACGAAGCUGGAUUCGCUAGUAAUCGCGCAUCAGCCACGGCGCGGUGAAUACGUUCCCGGGCCUUGUACACACCGCCCGUCAAGCCAUGGGAGCCGGGGGUACCUGAAGUGCGUAACCGCGAGGAGCGCCCUAGGGUAAAACUGGUGAAUGG